GUGUCAGCCGCCGCGGUAAUACCGGCAGCCUGAGUGAUGGCCGAUAUUAUUGGGCCUAAAGCGUCCGUAGCUGGCCGACCAAGUCUCCCGGGAAAUCCACCCGCCCAACGGGUGGGCGUCCGGUAGAAACUGGCCGGCUUGGAACCGGAAGGCUCAGAGAGUACGUCCGGGGUAGGAGUGAAAUCCCGUAAUCCCGGACGGACUACCGAUAGCGAAAGCACUCUGAGAAGACGGCUUCGACAGUGAGGGACGAAAGCUCGGGUCUCAAACCGGAUUAGAUACCCUAGUAGUCC
This 293-nucleotide ribosomal RNA is filed under the name uncultured bacterium. Its description in RNAcentral is "partial 16S ribosomal RNA". It matches the Rfam family "Archaeal small subunit ribosomal RNA", at positions 455 to 747 of the family's 1478-position model. The record is from RNAcentral.